This is a long non-coding RNA of Macaca mulatta (Rhesus monkey), 893 nucleotides long. RefSeq lists it as uncharacterized. Lineage: Eukaryota; Metazoa; Chordata; Mammalia; Primates; Cercopithecidae. The record is from RefSeq and is a predicted model, not a curated record.
UGGAUCUUUGGACUGAUACUAUUAUAUUUGCAAUGAAUUUAAUUGGAAAAACGCUGAGUACCUGCACCCAGGCACUGCCCGGGCUCAAACUUGCAGAUUAAUUAUGGAUGCAAGACAUAUAUAGCAUCAUGUAUGCCAAACCCUGGACAAGUCUAAGGAGGCUCCUCCUAUACUAUCAUAUUAAUUCCAAAUAGAAUAUUAAUUCAUUGGAUAAGUCAGAGAAGGCUCAUAUAGAAGAUAUAUGAGGGAGAAGCUAUUGAAAGACAAAAACCUCUAUAUAGAAAUAUAUCACCAGCAGCACAAGUGGACUACAGCCUCAGAAAUGUCCUCACCGUCCAGCUUCAUGACAAGCAGACUGGCUGUUGGCAGAAUGCACCCAGCUCUGCUUCUGCUCAUAAGGAACUGAGGCCCCACGUGGUGAAGUGACAGAGCUGAUUCUAGAGCCCAGGUGCUCUCAGUGUCAGCCUCUGCCAUUCUGACCACGCUGCACUCAGAUCUUGCUCUACUCUCUGGAGUUUGUCCACAUCACAGUUUUCUGGUAUGCAGCUCAUCAGACAAUUUUUACCUGAAUCCACACAUGACAAGAGACCAUUUGGGUAAUGUACAUUAUGGGAGGAGAACAGAGUCUCAGUGAAGAUCAUUAGUUUCCCUAGCAAUGUAGAUGCCAGGAGUGGCUGGCUCUGGUCCUAGCCUAGACUCAGAAAUCCUAAGCCACCAGACCAAUUCUAGAUUAACAAGUAAGGUGACUUCUGAGUAACUAAUAUUUUCAUUGAGAUUUGAUGAUAAGCAGCAAAGCUCAAACAAAAGUCCAGAGUUAGUGUUGGCAGGUUGAGGUGGCUCAUGCCUGUAAUCCCAGCACUUUGGGAGGCUGAGGUGGGAGGAUCACUUGAGCC